UACGUAGGGUGCAAGCGUUGUCCGGAAUUAUUGGGCGUAAAGAGCUCGUAGGCGGUCUGUUGCGUCGGCUGUGAAAACCCGAGGCUCAACCUCGGGCCUGCAGCCGAUACGGGCAGACUAGAGUUCGGCAGGGGAGACUGGAAUUCCUGGUGUAGCAGUGAAAUGCGUAGAGAUCGGGAGGAACAUCAGUUGCGAAGGCGGCUCUCUGGACCAGCACUGACACUGAGGCACGAAAGCGUGGGGAGCAAACAGG
RNAcentral lists this ribosomal RNA (253 nucleotides) under uncultured bacterium. RNAcentral describes it as "partial 16S ribosomal RNA". It matches the Rfam family "Bacterial small subunit ribosomal RNA", at positions 524 to 776 of the family's 1533-position model. The record is from RNAcentral.